Cinara cedri is the source of this 282-nucleotide non-coding RNA. Lineage: Eukaryota; Metazoa; Arthropoda; Insecta; Hemiptera; Aphididae. The record is from the annotation of a GenBank genome assembly.
GGAAAUUAAUUGUUUAAUAGGCAGAACGCAAGGAUUUCCCAAGAAAGUUGGAAUAUUGAUGGGUUGGAAAAUUAAAUAUUUCAGUGCGCCAUCAUUAAGACCAAUUUACGCCACUGGCCACAGGCCUCUGUUUUAGAUGGCACGUUUAGAAAUCAUAUUAUUAUUAUUCUAAUCGCUGUACGUAUGGGAUAAUAUCGCAUUGAUUACGGGAGAAAAAACGGAUAUGUAUUUCGAAAAUUGCAACACGGAAAAUAUGUUUGUAUACAUUUGAAUUCAUUCGUG